CACGUAGGGCGCGAGCGUUGUCCGGAAUUAUUGGGCGUAAAGAGCUCGUAGGCGGUGUGUUGCGUCGGCCGUGAAAACCUGCAGCUUAACUGUGGGCUUGCGGUCGAUACGGGCAUCACUGGAGUUCGGCAGGGGAGACUGGAAUUCCUGGUGUAGCGGUGAAAUGCGCAGAUAUCAGGAGGAACACCGGUGGCGAAGGCGGGUCUCUGGGCCGAUACUGACGCUGAGGAGCGAAAGCGUGGGGAGCAAACAGG
RNAcentral lists this ribosomal RNA (254 nucleotides) under uncultured bacterium. RNAcentral describes it as "partial 16S ribosomal RNA". It matches the Rfam family "Bacterial small subunit ribosomal RNA", at positions 524 to 776 of the family's 1533-position model. The record is from RNAcentral.